CGGGUGAGUAACGCGUAGGCAAUCUGCCCUAAAGUGGGGAAUAACGUCGGGAAACCGGUGCUAAUACCGCAUGAUAUUCUUUGAUCGCAUGGUCGAAGAAUUAAAGAUUUAUCGCUUUGGGAUGAGCCUGCGUCCUAUUAGCUUGUUGGUAAGGUAACGGCUUACCAAGGCAACGAUGGGUAGCUGGUCUGAGAGGAUGAUCAGCCACACUGGCACUGAGACACGGGCCAG
This 231-nucleotide ribosomal RNA is filed under the name uncultured bacterium. RNAcentral's name for it is "partial 16S ribosomal RNA". It matches the Rfam family "Bacterial small subunit ribosomal RNA", at positions 103 to 334 of the family's 1533-position model. The record is from RNAcentral.